GCCGGGCAUGGUGGCUCAUGCCUGUAAUCCCAGCACUUUGGGAGGCCGAGGUAGGAGGAUCACCUGAGGUCAGGAGUUCGAGACCAGUCUGGCCAACAUGGUGAAAUCCUGUCUCUA
Callithrix jacchus (white-tufted-ear marmoset) is the source of this 117-nucleotide unclassified non-coding RNA. It matches the Rfam family "Metazoan signal recognition particle RNA". From Rfam's summary of the family: The signal recognition particle (SRP) is a universally conserved ribonucleoprotein. The record is from Ensembl. NCBI's taxonomy places the organism in Eukaryota, Metazoa, Chordata, Mammalia, Primates, Cebidae.